UACGUAGGUGGCAAGCGUUAUCCGGAUUUAUUGGGUUUAAAGGGUGCGUAGGCGGAUCGUUAAGUCAGUGGUCAAAUUGAGGGGCUCAACCCCUUCCCGCCAUUGAAACUGGCGAUCUUGAGUGGAAGAGAAGUAUGCGGAAUGCGUGGUGUAGCGGUGAAAUGCAUAGAUAUCACGCAGAACCCCGAUUGCGAAGGCAGCAUGCCGGCUUCCGACUGACGCUGAAGCACGAAAGCGUGGGGAUCGAACAGG
This 252-nucleotide ribosomal RNA is filed under the name uncultured bacterium. RNAcentral describes it as "partial 16S ribosomal RNA". It matches the Rfam family "Bacterial small subunit ribosomal RNA", at positions 524 to 776 of the family's 1533-position model. The record is from RNAcentral.